CACGUAGGGGGCGAGCGUUGUCCGGAUUUAUUGGGCGUAAAGAGCUCGUAGGCGGCUCGGUAAGUCAGGUGUGAAAACUCUAGGCUCAACCUAGAGACGCCACCUGAUACUGCUGUGGCUAGAGUCCGGUAGGGGAGCAUGGAAUUCCUGGUGUAGCGGUGAAAUGCGCAGAUAUCAGGAGGACCACCAGUGGCGAAGGCGGUGCUCUGGGCCGGAACUGACGCUGAGGAGCGAAAGCGUGGGGAGCAAACAGG
This 254-nucleotide ribosomal RNA is filed under the name uncultured bacterium. Its description in RNAcentral is "partial 16S ribosomal RNA". It matches the Rfam family "Bacterial small subunit ribosomal RNA", at positions 524 to 776 of the family's 1533-position model. The record is from RNAcentral.